AUGCUGCUGCUGGCAGCGCUUGUCUCCACAGCCGCUUGGUCUUGUGGAUUUGCACAAGAAAUUCCCGUGCAGAGCCCACUCUCUCUCACCAAGUCUAAAGGAAGUGUGCGUCUGGAAUGUCACUUUAAAGACGUCUCUGUAAAUUUUGAUGGUGCCACCAUACACUGGUAUCAACAGAAGGCGAAUAAAGCUCCAGAGAGGAUUCUCUACUUAUCAGGGACGACAAAAGUAGUAGAUGAGGGCUUCCAAGAACGCAGGUACAGGGUUGAAAAAGAUUCUAGCCAGAAACUGUGUAUUCUUACAAUAAACGAUGUCACUCCAGACGACACUGCUACCUACUAUUGCGCCUACUGGUACGAUCACUGUGUCGAUGUCCCUUGA
This is a non-coding RNA of Chroicocephalus ridibundus (black-headed gull), 381 nucleotides long. The record is from the annotation of a RefSeq genome assembly. NCBI's taxonomy places the organism in Eukaryota, Metazoa, Chordata, Aves, Charadriiformes, Laridae.